Molecule: non-coding RNA, 541 nt
Organism: Salvia hispanica
Lineage: Eukaryota; Viridiplantae; Streptophyta; Magnoliopsida; Lamiales; Lamiaceae
Source: RefSeq, a predicted model, not a curated record
UUUCUCUUUCACUGCAGUCUCUGUAUAUUAGCUGUCUCUACUAAAUACUCUUCCAUUUUCCUCAUCUCUCUCUCUCCCCCCUUUUCACUUCAUUGAUUAACUCUUUAUACGUAUAUAUACACACUUUCAAACUCCUAUCACACCCCCAAUUUCGUGAUCCUCUUCACAAUUUCAACUCUGCUUUCCCUUUCGCUUUGUUUGUUGAUUUAUGCGUGUAUUUCCGCGUGUGAAAACGUACAUACACUCGUAACUGCUGCUGUACAAUACAUGUGUUGGCACAAAUCCCUACGCCGUUGGCCAAAAUUACUAUUCCAUAUCUACCUAAAAAGGGCUCCGCCUAUGGAAUUCUCGAAUUCGAGCUCUGGAUUCCGCCGCGAAAGUUGAGAUUUUUGGUUUUCAUCUCUUCCUGACUGAUUCUGAUCCAGAUUUUGCGUUGGAGAAGAUGUUGCAACAUAAAGAGGCCUUAUAUCUCUUGAGCAAAGCAGCUUCAUGGAUAUCAUGCCAAAACGAUUAAAGACGGAUGACUCUCUUUCUUCAAAGG